This 50-nucleotide transfer RNA is filed under the name Gilbertiodendron brachystegioides. RNAcentral's name for it is "partial tRNA-Phe". The record is from RNAcentral. RNAcentral also lists the same sequence under 4 other names. Lineage: Eukaryota; Viridiplantae; Streptophyta; Magnoliopsida; Fabales; Fabaceae.
UCGGGAUAGCUCAGCUGGUAGAGCAGAGGACUGAAAAUCCUCCGUGUCCA